Dicentrarchus labrax (European seabass) is the source of this 3699-nucleotide long non-coding RNA. RefSeq lists it as uncharacterized. NCBI's taxonomy places the organism in Eukaryota, Metazoa, Chordata, Actinopteri, Moronidae. The transcript is spliced from 3 exons. The record is from RefSeq and is a predicted model, not a curated record.
GUAGGGAGCUCGGCUGUGGGGCUCCUUCAGUCUUCAAGGGGGUGCUCUAUGGAGAAGUGGAGGCUCCAAUGUGGACCAAAGAGUUCCAGUGUGGAGGCCAUGAGUCUGCUCUCCUGGACUGUAGAAGCUCGGGCUCAGCUAGAAACACCUGCUCACCUUGAAAAGCGGUUGGACUCACCUGCUCAGAGCCUGUCAGGGUGGUGGGAGGAGACUGUCACUGUGCAGGAACACUGGAACUGAAACAUAAUGGUGAAUGGAGACCAGUGAUUGGCUCUGACUGGACCCUGAAGGAAGCAGCUGUUACCUGCAGAAGUCUGGACUGUGGCUCUGCUGUUUCUGUAGAACGGAGAAAAGAAUAGUCUUACAGAUCUGUCUGGAUGAUCAGCUAUGACUGUGUUCAGUCCAGAUUUGCUCUGAGGGACUGUGCAAAAUCACGGUCCUCUUCUGACAGCCUUCAUCUCACCUGUUCAGGCCUGCAGGGGGCAGAAGCCGGGCAGACAGGAGAACAUUGAGCUGGAUGAUAACCUGGGUGUUCCUGCAGCUGGAGGAGGGCCGACUGAAGAGGAAGGUGCUCAGGGAGGUCCUCUCACAUCCACAUGGAUUUCACAGCUGUCAGACAACCAUCAGCUCAGUCGAGGAUUUUACAUUUUUAUACUCAUAUCUGAAAUUAUUAUAUAACAUUAUAUCUGUAUUACUCUGAAGAUGAAAAGACCAAAAACAACAACAUGUUACCCUGUCUCUCAAUACUUUCUGACUUCCUGUCUGUGGCUCUCAGCUCCAACCCUGUUUGUUCCUACUGAAGACGUAAAUCUUAAAAAACCUCACAAAUAUAGUUUCAUUAGAAAACUAGACUUGAAAGCAGGAAUACUGAGAUCCAAAUACCACCAACCAUCAAAACCAAAGACACACUGACCCAGGCUGGCUGGGAAUUUGGGAGUGUUGGUAAUUGUGGAACAAUGUUGGCCAAGUAAUGUUAAAUAUUAAAUUAAAAUAAAAGUGAAAUGAAGUCAUAUCCACUUAAUCUGGUGUUACAAUACUCGAUCAAAUUAAGUGACAUUUGAACAAUUGAGAUAAGAGGAAAAACUUCAGGACGACCUGCUGUCGAGUUUGGAAUCCCAGUAAUGGAAAGCUCAGUCAAAGUCAACGUCUCUUCAAAUAAUCAGGCAGCCCUAUGAUGGAUGCCAUUGUGUUCAGUAGUGCAGUGGUUACAGUGCUGGUCCAUACACCCUCUGUGAACUGCAGAGACGUUCAUUUGACUCCUCAUUGCUCUGCUUUGAGUGUUUGUGGCAAUUCAUUUUAGGCAAAAUAACUCAUGAAUCAUUAAGAGUAGAAACUUUUUUUAACAAUGGGUUCCUUGGAAUACGUAAAUAUGACGGAUAUAGGCACCAAUAAAACACCAGUUUUGAUGGCUAUGAACCCGUCAGACAAACAUUGAAUUGAAUUGAAUUGAAUUUAAAACGAAAAGAAAAAGUAUUUGUUGGGAAAAUGGGUACUAAAAACAUUUUUUGGAUCUGUAAUAGCAGAUUCCUUACAAAACAAAUACAAAGCUGAUGAGUUCCAGUACUACCAGGAUCACUGGCAUGUGAUGCCCAAUAUUGAACACUAGAUGGUGGUGUAGGUGUGGCUGACAAAUGAGACUUGAAUGAAUGCAAGUUCUCUUACAGCUGGAUUAAAUAAACAAACGCAGCACAUUUACAGUUACGGAUAGGAGAUACAGAUAUAAAGAAACAGAAGCAAAGCUAUUAGGGCUCAUUGUUGAAUUGAUCUGCUGUUAUUCUACUGUUUCUAAAAGUAAUAAUAUUACUUUUUAUUAUACCCCAAAUUAUUGUAGGUAGGGAGUAAGUAAUACUCCCUACCUACAAUAAUUAGUUACACUACUAACUACUUUUCUGCUACUCCCCACAAAACUGGUAAUUGUGUCCUUUCAAUUAAAAUCCAGUUUUGAUUAUUAAAAUCUAAGUAACGUGAAUAUUUGCAGAUGCUGAAUCUUCCAAACUAGUUUCUUCCACAAUUACAAAGUUUUCAACUUGCUAGUUUUUGAUCAUAAGUAAUGUAAUAUGCAGCUGUCCAUGUUAGCACAGUACGCAACUGACUGAAUGCUUAAGUAGCUGAAAAAUAAAAUGUAUUCCACUAACCACUGUUCUUAACUGAAACCGUCAUAUUUAAACCAUUUAAGGAGUUAACUGUCCUUUACACAAAUGAAUAGUUGUACAUUUAAAGUGAAUCGUGGAGGUUCAUAUGUUACUCAGGAAUUAAUUUUGCUGCUUCAUGAAGUUCAUUUAGAACAAUGCACCGGACUGCAAUCUUUACCUUGUUCCCACACAGACACACACACAUACUGGAGAGUUAGCCUCUCUGAGCCGCUAGCUUAGCUUCAACACAGCCACUAGCUUAGCUAUAAACAGGUAGCAGACAGAAACUUUUACAAACAAUGUGAAUGUGCUAAAAGCUCCAGUGGACCCUGAGCACAGACACAGAGAGUCUGACAGCAGCUGCUAAUGGCCAGUUACCUCUGUUAGCUUUGUUAGCUCUGUUAGUGCUGACUACCAGCUUGCUGUUCCUGCUACGAUGCCGUGGUCAGUCUGUCAAUCACUGUGGUCGGUGUCGAGAGUAAAUAUGCUGGAAAUUUUCAUUUCAGCAACCAUGUUUUUCUCUCUGAAUUACAUACAAGACAUGAAAAUGAAACAAUUUGCCCUAAAUGUUCGGUUUGUGUAUGAUCUCCAGACAAAUGUUUGCAAAUAGCACCCCAACCUUUAAAUGAACAAGAACAAUACAAUGAGUAUAAGCAGGGUAAUGACUGACCAGUGUAUAGAUAUUUCAAUCUAUAAUGCUUUAAGGGCUCUAAACGUGUUGAUGUUCUAAAGUUGCAAUUUUUGCAUGACCAUCUCAUAACAUAGGAGGCCUGCUGUUCUCCCUGAUGACACAAAUGUUGAAACCCAUCAAUCUGUCCUCCCUCAACUGUCCUCAACUAUCCACUGUAUUGGCUCGUCCUAAGAAAUGGGUCCCUCUGUAAUUAACAGACACAAUUUGUGAUAUUAAAACAAUGAUUUUUAAAAUAUUUACCCACAAUUUUAUAUUGCAUCAAGAAUAGGGAAAAACAACAUUAUGUCAUGCAUACACAGAUUUCUACUUACCUAAAUGAGAUGAAUGUUGUACCACAGACCAGUCACUUCUUCUACUAAGCCCUCAAUUUACACUGCAGUGGCUCCUCCAGCAGCAUAUCCUGGACCUGACACCACAACUCAGUGCUGUACUGUUCUGCUUCCUGUAAAUUGAAACAUAUAUUUAUAGACUUAACAACAAAAUACAGAUGAAAUUAUAUGCGUAUGAGAAGAAAUAACUUAACUGACAAGACUGGACUUGCAUGAGAGGCUUUCUGUUCAAUAUUCAAUCAAGUUAAAUAUACCAAGAUAUUUUUCUACCGGCGAGUCUCCUUUGCUUGCUGGCACUCCACACAGGCAGCAGCCCAGGCCCUGACGUCCCUCUGCAGGCCCGGCCAGACAAACUUGGCCCCCACCAGCUUGGUAGAGGCCUUCACCCCUGGGUGGGAAAGACCAUGGAUGGCGUCAAAAACGCGGUUGGCCAGUGGAGACGUCGCAGAGGAGUGUAAAGCGCCCAGUAUACUCGACGCACUCGAGCUGUUGCGCGACAACGUGACGUCAAAAUGACAUAGAUCUCGCUGGCGCGCCAGGAUUUUGG